Dermacentor silvarum is the source of this 186-nucleotide small nuclear RNA. RefSeq annotates it as U2 spliceosomal RNA. NCBI's taxonomy places the organism in Eukaryota, Metazoa, Arthropoda, Arachnida, Ixodida, Ixodidae. The record is from RefSeq and is a predicted model, not a curated record. The transcript has a single exon.
AUGGCCGACGCGGGUCGUGGGUCAAAGUCUAGUAUCUGUUUUAUCAGCUUAAUAUCUGGUACGGGUUGCAUUUGGACCCAAGAUAUUAAACUUAUUUUUGCCAGUUGGCGGAGUGCUUGAAGCCUGCUUUACCUCCGCCGCGGGUGGGCCCGGUAUUGCACUAUCUUCGGGAUCAGCCCACGGUUG